UUCGUCCUAGCCGGCGCCACAACACUGACAAAGUAUUUUACAAAACAUUUGUGGUGCUUCUAACUUCACUAGUAGCGCAACUUUUCGUUAAUCACGAAACAAUGUUUUCGUCUUAAAAUCGUCAGUUAAUAACAUCGAGAGAUAUUUAAUGGCAAGGCGCAUUAUUUUUCCUUUUGUGCUGGAUGCUUUAUAUCGUACUAAAUUUAGACGAUAUCGUUCUGGAAUGACGUUUAGAUCUUUUGUACGGCAGAUGUGAUGUUAUUAGUUGUGUUGACAGUAGCAAUUCGACUGUGAUGAGAACGUUGUCAGUCUGCUAUACCGAUAAAUCUUAUGUUGUUGCAUCGCCUUGUAUCCUUAUCUUGAAAUGGCGGGGUUGUAUUCAAUAGACCAUUAGAGAGAUGCGUCACAAACAGAUUUUGAGAUCAAGAAUUUCCUCCCAUUGAAAUGACGUUUAAAUUUAAUAACGCCGAAAUACCUCCUGGCUUCUGCCUACCGUUAUUGAUUGUUCUCUUACCAGCUGUCAUACGAAAAAGUUUGGACGAAUUCCUGGCCAUUUAUCUUCUUCAAAUACCUUAGAAUCCAUUGUGAUGUCUGUCGCUGUUACUUACCUAAACUUGCGAAAGUAUAAAGUAAAUUAUGUACGAACACUUCCACUAGUAAAUUAUUUCCAAACA
Tribolium castaneum (red flour beetle) is the source of this 674-nucleotide long non-coding RNA. RefSeq lists it as uncharacterized. The transcript is spliced from 2 exons. Lineage: Eukaryota; Metazoa; Arthropoda; Insecta; Coleoptera; Tenebrionidae. The record is from RefSeq and is a predicted model, not a curated record.